GACGAACGCUGGCGGCGUGCUUAACACAUGCAAGUCGAACGGAAAGGCCCUGCUUUUGUGGGGUGCUCGAGUGGCGAACGGGUGAGUAACACGUGAGUAACCUGCCCUUGACUUUGGGAUAACUUCAGGAAACUGGGGCUAAUACCGGAUAGGAGCUCCUGCUGCAUGGUGGGGGUUGGAAAGUUUCGGCGGUUGGGGAUGGACUCGCGGCUUAUCAGCUUGUUGGUGGGGUAGUGGCUUACCAAGGCUUUGACGGGUAGCCGGCCUGAGAGGGUGACCGGCCACAUGGGAACUGGGAUACGGCCAGGACGCCUACGGGGGGAAGAGGUGGGGAAAAUGGCACAAUGGGCGGAGGCCUGCUGCAGCAACGCCGCGUGGGGGAGAACGGCUUUCGGGUUGAAACCGCUUUCGCCUGUGACGAAGCGUGAGUGACGGUAAUGGGUAAAGAAGCACCGGCUAACUACGUG
RNAcentral lists this ribosomal RNA (467 nucleotides) under uncultured bacterium. RNAcentral describes it as "partial 16S ribosomal RNA". It matches the Rfam family "Bacterial small subunit ribosomal RNA", at positions 28 to 507 of the family's 1533-position model. The record is from RNAcentral.